Molecule: ribosomal RNA, 253 nt
Filed under: uncultured bacterium
Lineage: Bacteria
Description: partial 16S ribosomal RNA
Rfam family: Bacterial small subunit ribosomal RNA
Source: RNAcentral
UACGUAGGGGGCAAGCGUUGUCCGGAAUCAUUGGGCGUAAAGAGCGUGUAGGCGGCCCGAUAAGUCCGCUGUGAAAGUCAAAGGCUCAACCUUUGAAAGCCGAUGGAUACUGCCGGGCUGGAGUCCGGAAGAGGCGAGUGGAAUUCCUGGUGUAGCGGUGGAAUGCGCAGAUAUCAGGAGGAACACCAAUAGCGAAGGCAGCUCGCUGGGACGGUACUGACGCUGAGGCGCGAAAGCGUGGGGAGCGAACAGG